ACAUCCUGUCUCUGUGUGUGGAGCUGGCUGGAAUCUCUCAGCCUCACCUGCCAGACAACACCCCCUCCUUCCUCACCCUGUCUCCUGCAUUCUCCUGAAACCUUCAUCCACACAAUGCCUCCCAACCUCACUGGCUACUACCGCUUUGUCUCGCAGAAGAACAUGGAGGACUACCUGCAAGCCCUAAGUAAUGGCCUCGCCCUCCCAGACCCCUGUCACUCCCUUUCUCCCCUCUUCCUUCCUGCUUCUUGGUCCCAUGGAGAAGAGGGAAUGCCCGGGGUUGGACACUGUGGAAAGGCUCAGGCGGCUGGCACCAGACCUGGGAUCCAUUUCUAACCAGGCAUUGGUAGGAGGGGGUGAAUCCACAGUCCCAGACCCAAAGAAGGGAAACUCACAGCCCUGAGGGGCUGCUGCAGGCAGAGGAGCUCCUGGCUGGCUAGCAGCACCCCUACUAACAGGCAGCCCCCACAGACAUCAGCUUGGCUGUGCGGAAGAUCGCGCUGCUGCUGAAGCCGGACAAGGAGAUCGAACACCAGGGCAACCACAUGACGGUGAGGACGCUCAGCACCUUCCGAAACUACACUGUGCAGUUUGAUGUGGGAGUGGAGUUUGAGGAGGACCUCAGGAGCGUGGACGGACGAAAAUGCCAGACCAUAGUAACCUGGGAGGAGGAGCACCUGGUGUGUGUGCAGAAAGGGGAGGUCCCCAACCGGGGCUGGAGACACUGGCUGGAGGGAGAGAUGCUGUAUCUGGAACUGACUGCAAGGGAUGCAGUGUGCGAGCAGGUCUUCAGGAAGGUCAGAUAGCCGGAGAGGAGCCAAGAUCCCUCCAGACAGCACCAGCUCACAGACGCUCUUGUUGUGCCCCCUUCAAGCCCAGAUUGUGCCAGGUUGUCUGUGUGACCAAUGGAAUAAGGCAGAAAUGAUGCUACGUCACUUCCAAGGCUGGCUUAUAAAAGACACUGUCACCUCUGCCUUGUUCUUUCCACCUUGGGUCACUCUGGGGAAAGCCAGCUGCUAUGCCGCGAGGACACUCAAGCGUCCUAUGAGGAGGGCCAUGUGGCAGGGAACUGAGGCCGCCUGCCCACAUCCAUGUGAGUGACCGUCUGGAAGCAGACCUCCAGCCCCAGUCCCGCCUCUGGAGGACUGCAGCCUGCACCUGGACCAAAGCCUUGUGAGAGACCCUGAUCCUAAACUACCCAUCUCAGCCGCUUCUGGAUUCCUGACCCACAGAAACUGUGUGAAAUAGUACAUACUUGCUGUUUUAAACAAAAUGUGGGGGUGACUUUUUACAAGCAGACAGAUAACUGCAACAUAGUCUCAACCUUGAAUUUCAUUGCAAAUGACCCCAUCCUGACCAUAACCUCAAUAUUCGCUAAGUGGGCAGAAGAAUGGGGUUGGGGGGUGGGGGCAGUAGAUGACUUCGGGCAGUAAAAAUGUGUCCAGUCACAAAAAGGCAUGACUCCAUCCUCAGUGCUCACAGCCCUCCCAUCCUAGCUCUAAGCUAGACCCUUCCACGAGUCUAGAGAGUGAAGUUCAGAGGCAGGCAGCUGCCCCCUUUCCCUUCCUCUUUGAGGCCCACCCACCUGAGUCCUGUCUGAGGACUGCCUCUCCCCUAGGUAAUUGUUAAAAGGAAUGUCCAGCAUCUUCAGAUGGUACCCUGCUCGUUUCAAAGUUGUGUGACCUUACUCUGUGGCUUCAAAAGGACAAAGACAUCAGAAUACAACUCAAUGCACCUCACGCCAUUAGACAGCAUGAGUGACAAGCCGCAGGGAGGAUAUAUCAGACAGCACCAGAUCUUAGCUGGUAGGAAGCUGAUUGACAAGUUCUGUGGAGGACAGAGCAGCAGAGCCCUGAAGUCCACAGCAAUAAGGGGAAGAUGGUGUUCUAGACACACCAGCAGGGAAGAGCCAAACCUGGAUGGUCAGUUUGACCUCCCAGGGUAAGGAGCCUCUGGGUCUUCUCUACCUCUCCCAGGACCACCACAGUGAAACUAGAGCCAGAGGGUUCUUUGCUGAAAAGAGGGUGAGUGAGGUGGAGAGAUGCAGAUGAGAGGAGGCUUUAUGCAGAAGCCAUCAGGUUGUGCCAUAUCUAAAGCCUGGAAAAAGGAGGAUACCAGCUGAUAGGAUUUGGCUCUAUGUCCCCAACCAAAUCUCAUGUGGAAUUGUAAUCCCCACGUGUUGGAGGAGGGGCCUGGUGAGAGGUGAUUGGAUCAUGGGGGCAGUUUCUAAUGGUUUAGUGCCAUCCCCCUAGUGCUGUCUCCCGAUGGAAUUCUCAUGAGAUCUGGUUGUUUAAAAGUGUGUAGACUUCUCCCUUCUUCUCUUUCUCCUGCUGCCAUGUGAAGAAGGUCCUUGCUUCCCCUUCGCCUUCUGCCAUGAUUAUAAGCUUCCUGAGGCCUCCCAGUCAUGCUUCCUGUUAAGCCCGCAGAACUGUGAGUCAAUUAAACUUCUUCUCUUCAUG
RNAcentral lists this long non-coding RNA (2459 nucleotides) under Homo sapiens (human). Its description in RNAcentral is "non-protein coding lnc-RBP5-3:1". Lineage: Eukaryota; Metazoa; Chordata; Mammalia; Primates; Hominidae. The record is from RNAcentral.